RNAcentral lists this long non-coding RNA (258 nucleotides) under Coffea arabica (coffee). RNAcentral describes it as "long non-coding RNA (CARA_LNC005983)". The record is from RNAcentral. Lineage: Eukaryota; Viridiplantae; Streptophyta; Magnoliopsida; Gentianales; Rubiaceae.
GAUUUUUCGCAUAGGUUUCAUUUCCGGAGUUAUUUUUUACAAAAAAAGAAAGAAAAGUUGUCAAAUGGCCAAAAAAUAGUCACGGUUUUAUUUUUUUUUUAACCCCUUAAACCUUCACCAAAAAUCAUGAAAAUUAUACUACAACACUCUUACAACUUCUACAAUACAACUAUGAUUUUUUUUUGACAAGAAACAACAUAAAAAGGGUAAAUUAAAGCAAAAAACAGCCCCUAAAUGAAGAAAAAUACUUCAAUGCCU